AGUGAACGCUGGCGGUAGGCCUAACACAUGCAAGUCGAACGGCAGCACAGUAAGAGUUUGCUCUUACGGGUGGCGAGUGGCGGACGGGUGAGGAAUACAUCGGAAUCUACUUUUUCGUGGGUGAUAACGUAGGGAAACUUACGCUAAUACCUCAUACGACCUACGGGUUAAAGCAGGAGAUCUUCGGACCUUUCGCGAUUGAAUGAGCCGAUGUCGGAUUAGCUAGUUGGCGGGGUAAAGGCCCACCAAGGCGACGAUCCGUAGCUGGUCUGAGAGGAUGAUCAGCCACACUGGAACUGAGACACGGUCCAGACUCCUACGGGAGGCAGCAGUGGGGAAUAUUGGACAAUGGGCGCAAGCCUGAUCCAGCCAUACCGCGUGAGUGAAGAAGGCCUUCGGGUUGUAAAGCCCUUUUGUUGGGAAAGAAAAGCAGCAGAUUAAUACCCCGCUGUUCUGACGGUACCCAAAGAAUAAGCACCGGCUAACUUCGUG
Molecule: ribosomal RNA, 492 nt
Filed under: uncultured bacterium
Lineage: Bacteria
Description: partial 16S ribosomal RNA
Rfam family: Bacterial small subunit ribosomal RNA
Source: RNAcentral